Molecule: transfer RNA, 30 nt
Filed under: Gyrodactylus derjavinoides
Lineage: Eukaryota; Metazoa; Platyhelminthes; Monogenea; Gyrodactylidea; Gyrodactylidae
Description: partial tRNA-Trp
Source: RNAcentral
AAACAAAAAGUGCACUAUAUGCACCACUUG